GGUCUUUAAUUUGUCUCAUCAUCAUAGUUUCAAAAAUUGGCCUCCUCCAAACCAGAAAUACUUGCCACUGGAUUAGCAAUGCAGCGGAGACCUGGGAUACAGCUUUGGGUAUAUGUCUCAAGAAUCAGCUCUGCUUAGCCGAUUUUGAUACAAAGGACCACUUCUAUAUUCUUGAAGCGCUUUUAAUGAACGUGCAACCAAAAGAGGAAGAUGAAUUUUGGUUCGGCCUUAACCGACUACAAGGACCAGGGCUCCACUACAUAUCUAAUUUUGAGUCCAUAAGGUACGUGCCAAAAUUUUCUCAAAUCGCCGUCAUCGAAAACAAGAAGUGUGGCUUUUUAAA
Long non-coding RNA from Scaptodrosophila lebanonensis, 343 nucleotides. RefSeq lists it as uncharacterized. The transcript is spliced from 2 exons. NCBI's taxonomy places the organism in Eukaryota, Metazoa, Arthropoda, Insecta, Diptera, Drosophilidae. The record is from RefSeq and is a predicted model, not a curated record.